AAUCUGAAAGACUCACCUUUGACAUUCAUAAACAAUAUAAUAAUAUCAUCACUCACAUAACGAAAACCUUAAUAAUUAUCAAUCUGAGAUUACAUGCAUUGUUAUUUGUUAAACACCCUAUUUAACCAUAGGCUUAAACGAGGUGAGACUCUUGAAAUGCUCCCAUGGCUUCUCCCAAACGACAGCUUCAAAUUUCUUGGUCGAAGGUCCGUCCUUGACGACCAAGAUCAGCCGGUAAUUGGUGCCGGAAACCACCUGAGUCUCGGCCUUCUCCACGCUCUCGAACUUCAACGCGCUCUUUGACCGUUUGUUGUACUCUGUCACCGCGAACUGCCCGAUCUCCAUCACGUGCUUCUCCGUGGGGUCUAUCGGAGUCCAUCCCCCAAAUAUAGGCUUAAACGAUGUGAGACUCUUGAAAUGCUCCCAUGGCUUCUCCCAAACGACAGCUUCAAAUUUCUUGGUCGAAGGUCCGUCCUUGACGACCAAGAUCAGCCGGUAAUUGGUGCCGGAAACCACCUGAGUCUCGGCCUUCUCCACGCUCUCGAACUUCAACGCGCUCUUUGACCGUUUGUUGUACUCUGUCACCGCGAACUGCCCGAUCUCCAUCACGUGCUUCUCCGUGGGGUCUAUCGGAGUCCAUCCCCCAAACAUAGGCUUAAACGAGGUGAGACUCUUGAAAUGCUCCCAUGGCUUCUCCCAAACGACAACUAACAAUUUCUUGGUCGAAGGUUCGUCCUUGACGACCAAGAUCAGCCGGUAAUUGGUGCCGGAAACCACCUGAGUCCAGGCCUUCUCCACGCUCUCGAACUUCAACGCGCUCUUUGACCGUUUGUUGUACUCUGUCACCGCGAACUGCCCGAUCUCCAUCACGUGCUUCUCCGUGGGGUCUAUCGGAGUCCAUCCCCCAAGCAUAGGCUUAAACGAGGUGAGACUCUUGAAAUGCUCCCAUGGCUUCUCCCAAACGACAGCUUCAAAUUUCUUGGUCGAAGGUCCGUCCUUGACGACCAAGAUCAGCCGGUAAUUGGUGCCGGAAACCACCUGAGUCUCGCCCUUCUCCACGCUCUCGAACUUCAACGCGCUCUUUGACUGUUUGUUGUACUCCGUCACCGCGAACUGCCCGAUCUCCAUCACGUGCUUCUCCUUGGGGUCCUCUAUCGGCUUCCAUCCCCCAACCAACGCUCCUUUACGGUCGCCGGCGGCCAGGAGAGGGACCACGGAGAGAAAGAGAACAAUAAGACAGCAAAAACGUUGAUUCAUUUUCGUUGUUUUGGUAACCGUUCACACCAAAGUCCGUGACUUCCGGUUCUUGAGUGAAUACUUCGCCUUGGCCCCUGGUUUUGGAUUUUAUACGCGGCGAGUUUUAGUGCACCGACACGUCUGUACGCUUUGUCUGAUUUGAAAAGGAGGUACACGUGACAGUCAGUGGUGUGAUUUCUGUGGUCUUAUCAUAUACGUGGCGGUUUACGAAAUGGGGCCCGCAUUCUUGGCGUGGCAGGAUGUGAAUACUGAGUGGGAAGGAGAAUGUAUGUGCUUUAGCACACCUGAGCAUUUACCACUGGAGAGUGAUACUGACGCAGGCAAAUAAUAAAAUAAUAAUAUCUAAUUGGGUGAGACUGAUUUCUUCUCUACACUACACCUUUUUUUUUAAUUAAAAAAAUAUAUAUUUUUUUAAAUUACUUAAUUAAUAUUUUUUCUUUGUCUAGAGAAGUGAUACUGACGCAGGCAAAUAAUAAAAUAAUAAUAUCUAAUUGGGUGAGACUGAUUUCUUCUCUAGACUACACCUUUUUUUUUAAUUAAAAAAAAAUAUUUUUUAAAAUUACUUAAUUAAUAUUUUUUCUUUGUCUAGAGAAGUGAUACUGACGCAGGCAAAUAAUAAAAUAAUAAUAUCUAAUUGGGUGAGACUGAUUUCUUCUCUAGACUACACCCUUUUUUUAAUUAAAAAAAUAAAUUUUUUUUAAAAUUACUUAAUUAAUAUUUUUUCUUUGUCUUUUUAAUUUUAUAAUUUUUAAUCAAUUCACUGAAAUAUGUUUUUCUAUUUAUAAAUAAAAAGAACAAAAUCUACUAUUUAAAAAUAACAUUAAUAAACUUUUUUCGUUAUUAAAAUUAAUGAAUAUCAAUAAAUUAAUUUUUAUCAAAUACAAAAAUUAAUAAAUAUUAAAAAAAAUUCGUAUAUAAAAAAUAUAAAAUAGAGCUCAUAAUAUAUUAAAAAAGGGUAAAACCAUGAAUUAAUUGUUUAGUUUAUAAAAUAUAAGAAGGUAGGAAGAAUAUCCAUUGUAAAAUUAAAAUGAAAAAAAGAAAGAGAUAAGUAAUUUUAAAUUUUUAAAUUUUUAAAAAUAAAUUUGUUUUGUAAAAUAAAAAAAAAAUUAAUGAAUUUAAACAACCUUAUCCUAUCCUAUUUAAUUUAGGUAGCCCCACCAUAACUAAUUAGACAGCAGAGAUAAGAAAAUUACGUGAACUUUAAAUGUGAUACUUUCUUCUGGAACAUUACAGAAUUUCCAACUAUGAAUCUUUCGAUUUUUUUUCUUUUUUUACUUUUAGUCAAAAUAAAUUAUCAUUAUUAUUAUAAUUAUUUUAUCGACAACUAUUAAUAAAAGCCCAGGAUAUUAAAUUCGAGUGAUGGAUAAAUAAAAAAUUGUAUUUUCUUCCUUCUCCAUCCCCGAUGCGCCGUGCUCAAUUUCUUCCUUCUCCAUGCAUGCUCAACGGCAUAGGGAUUGCCACUUAGGCUUGUAGUUUAGUAGUGAAUCAUUAUUUUUAAAGUUAAGUAUAAUUAUGAGGGUAAUUAUUUGAGUUCUUAUGGACUCAAUUUUUCUCAAUUAAAUAUAAUUAAGUGAAGACUUCUUAUAACGUCUUUCUCCUUUGGGAAAUGUGAGUGGAGUAGAAACAUCUUCCUCUGUGAGAGAUAUUUGGUUGGGUUUGUACUUUAUAGAAUAAAAAUAUAAUAAUAUAAGUCUCAUAUAUAUAUUUAAUUAUAAAUAUUAGUGUAAUGACUGACUGUCAUAACAAUUAUAUAUAUCUCUGUGUGUAAUACAGUAAUAUGAUGCUUAUUUGGUUAAAAAAAAAAAAAAAAACAGCAUAGAGGUUGUUCACUUUUCCCCUCCCUCACAAAGGACACAUAGCCAAUGGCAAGGCCGAAGCGAACACAACCACCAACAGUGCCAGUUCUCGCUGGAAAUAUGAGGCAGGAGGGUGAUGCAAGUUUGGGAGGCUGCUGGCGGGACGAAGAGCCGUGGCCUGCAGCUGAUCGACGCGGCGUGGACGAUGGUGACUAGCGGCUGCAAAAUCAUAACCCUGAAAUUUUAGGGCUUCCUAUUUGUUUUGGUUUGGGUGGUUUUUCAUAAUUUAUUAUCAAAUAAAUUAUUUUGAUUGAGUUAAAAAUAAAUAAAUAAAAAAUUGAAAGUUGAUGUUGUUUGUGAUGCUUUCAAAGCAAGUGUAUGGUGCUAUUGCUAUGGAUACUGGGACAGGCAAUGAUGCUGGAGUUUGAAGAAAAUUGAGUCCCAAAGAAACAAGAAGCGGUGAUGGUUGCUGAUAGACGCGGCAAAAUUUAUCGAUCCUUACGAGGGUGACAAAAAAGUAACCGUAGAAUUUAAGACACGCAUUCGACUAGUAACGCGCAAGAUGAGCACACAGGAAAGCACGCUCCUCUCACAAAUACACAAGCAAGCAUUCGCAUUUCAGCCACCCUACUGUUCUCAGUGACUCUCGGAUGACACUCUCAUGCAUUUCACGGCAUUCAUCGCCCUGAAACCUUGGACAAAGAAGGAAGUUGGUUAUUAUUCGUAAUUUCAGACAACGGUGAUACAAUUUAAUCUUAUUACACACAUUAAAAUUUUUAUAAACUAAUAUUGCCGGCACUAGCAAAAAAAAAUUUAUUUUUGUAAAGUUAAUAAAUGAAUAGUCUACUAAUUUAUUGAUAAAUAAAUAUUUAAUAAUUUACAGAGAGAUUUUUUUUAAUAAAAAAAAGAACAACCAUUACGGAUUGUUUUGGUCAUUGCAAGUUCCGGUUAGGCCAAGGUACGGUUAUUUGACAACAAGUUGGUGAAGACGAAGGCAUUCAUGAACUAGAUGAAGUUAUUUUUGGUCUACACUACAAAAAUAUGAUAGAUAUUGAGAGCCUUUUGAAUUAUCGGAGUGAAAAUGAUACACUGAUGGAAUCAUCUAUUGACGAAGAGAUUAUUCAAGUAUAGUGGAUUUCUCUAGUGAUGAUGAUUAAUGAUGAUGAUCAAUAAGAUAGUUUUGUUUUACAAAAUGUUUUCGCAAAAAGGCAUUUCAAGCAAUAGUAGCCUUAAAUAAUUACUUUUAACACACAAAAAAAAAGAAUACCAAGUUUACACAAAAAAAAAAAAAAAACAAGACUAAGUUCAAUUUAGGAACAAAUAAAAAAUCAAUAACUUUAGAUGUAGAUUUUGCAAAGAGUUGAAUGCAGAUAAUUGAAGUUGUUUAUAUUUUAUUUACUAUUAAUUUUUGUGUUUGAUUAAUUUUUAAUUUAUAUUUUCAUUAGGCCCUAAAAGAUUUAAAAAUAUUAUUAUCUUAUGCAUUAGACAAAUUAUUAAUUUAAUAAACUAGCCUAAAUCAGAGAAUCAAGAUUAUUAACUUAUCAAAUAUUUAUUUAUCGUAAAUUUACUGUAUUGUAAUUAAGAAUUUUUCACAAGGGAUAAUGAUCGAUUAUUUGCUGGCGAGAGCUCUCUGAGAACCUUUUUCUUUUUAAAUAAAUAUUGUUUUCCAUAAAAUCGUAUAAAAGCAAGUGCCACCUAGCUACAUCUAAUAAAUAAAUAAAUUUAUCCAACUUUGUUUAUUGCAGACCUUAUUUUUUACAUAUUAAAUGCUAGUGACGAGGCAUCGUGGAAGGAAUUCACUGACAAUUCAGUAUGCUGCGGAUAAUGCAUGUAUAAAUUUUUAGGGGCGCGUAAAUCAGUUUCCGUUCAAACUACAACACAUUCAAUUUAGAGUAUUAGGAUUGGAUUCAAAUGGUGAACUCAAUCUAAACCAAACUGAAUUUAAUUCGAUUAAAUUCAUAUUACAAAUUUAGGCUACAAGAGUUUCAAUCACUACCUCGUAAAACAAGUCAAACAUAUGGAAAAAAAAAAUCAAUAAAAAUCACAUAUCUAAGUCACUCCAAUCUCACAUUCAAAAUCUCAGGACCCAGUUUUCAAGAUUCAAUUUUGAGUCCCUUUCCAUAAGUAUCGCAAGUUUCGUACAUCAAUUAACAUUCAUUUUAGUUUUCUCAUGAAUGUGAUUGAAUGAUUUACUCUUGCUAUGGAUCAUGAGAUGUGAUUGAAGAAGUUCUUAAAUCUAUUUAUUAGUAUAGGGUUAGUAUACAUUAUUAGAUGAAUGAUUUAUCUUUAAUGUCAUGUGGUUGUCAAUGAAUGGUUAACUCCUUAUUUAUUAUGAUCUAUUGAUUGUAACUUAUUUUCACUUAUAACUCACCAUAUUUAAAGUCUUAGAGUAUAGCUCUAGAUAACUAGAGCUAGACUUUUUUCAACUUACUCAUAUUGAUUGUCACUCAAGAGAUGUAAACAUAAACAAAUUAUCAACAUGAGAAUAUCUUAAUAAGAUCACAUACUUAAGGGAUUGAGAACUCCUCUCCUAUAAAAUCUAUGUAUAUCACCAAGAGUUAUCGCUAUGUUUUAUUGUCACAAUCAACAAGCUAAGUAUACUUCAAAAUUAAAAUUGCCUAAGCUCUAUAUAGCUCAUAAUUGAAUCGCCGAGCUCAGUUAUAAAUUGCGAGAGCUAAUUGAGUGCAACUCAAUUACCAUCGCCACAACUGAGUAUAGCUCAGUAUUGAAAUCACUACAACUGGCAAAUUGUAGCUCAGUUAUCUCUUACUACAGCUUUGUACAUCAUAGUUAUGAAUUGCUAGAGCUAAGUUUAACUUAGUUUGAAAUCAUUAGAGCUGUGAGAAAGCUCAACUACAGACUCCAAAAUAACUUAGAAGUUUACUAAUUAACAAAAGGCGACUCAGCAGCGAGUUGCCACAUGUCACCCCCACAACAUUUUCUCUUAAGUUUCUUGUGCGUUAAUUAUUUCAACACAAGAAACUAGAUGGAUCUUGUUUUGGGUAAAUUUAGGACAUUAUUUUAGAAAAAUAGGCAAGUACAUGCGGCAGUAGAGAAUAAACGAGAAGAAAAGUUAACACUUUUAAGUGAAUAAGGGAUAGCUCAAGACAAGUUAGAGGUAAUCUUUGAAAGAGAGAGAGGAUAACUCCAGGAAAUUUGCCCAGUUUAAAAGUGAAAGUGGAAUUAAAAAAUGAUAAUUGGAGCCCUCACGUGUGGGCUGCAUGCCAUCAGAAAAAGGGUUAAAUAUCUUGUCUAUUAUGCUAAAAACAAGAGACCAAUAGCAGAAUAAUUAGCUGACAUAGCAAUGAGGAAAGGACAUGUUAGCACUGCUUAAUUAUCCCUUAAAAAAUAGUAGGAUCACUGCACCAGCUUCUGCCACGUGGCAAAGAGCAAUGACCACAUGAAGGUUAAAGGAAUGAAUUAUUCACCAAACUUACUUGGUCACUAUUUGAGGAAGGCAGCACCAAUAGAAAAUCUCCGUAUGAUAGAAAAGAUAAAAAUGUCCCUAGGGCGUUUAUCCUAGAAAUUUAACUCAGGACAAGAUAAUAGACUUUUUCUCCAUAUUUGAUUUUUUGAGAGGCUACUUCAUGUUCUUCUUCCUGCAAUUUUAGGAUUUUUUAUUUCAUUUUUAUACCUCCAUGGAAGAUUUCAGUGAUCUCAUCUCUUAAAGAAACUUUUUCAUUAUUUUUUUCUUAGAAAACUAUCUAAUCUUCAUAAGACCCACAUCUUCCUCAUGUUAUUAUUCAUCCUAAACAAACUUUAAUAAGAUUUUGUUAAUAUUAUAAAUAAAUAAAUAUAUAUAUAGGACAGUUAUUAUUCAAUCUGAAAGUCCUGGAUUGGAUCAUUGUCUGGGAAUCCACUGGGAAUCCAACGACCCCUGGUGUCUUUUUUUUUUAAUUUGUUGCUGCACAUGGUGGGGCCCACCAUGUGCAGCCACUAGGCUUUGUCCCAAAAACUGUUUCACAAUUUCCUAUAUAUAUAUAUGUAAUACUUUUUUUAUUUAUUAGAUUGGAAAUAAAUUACUCCCGUGGAUAUAAGCCUAAUGACGAAUCAUGUAAAAUCUUAUAUGCUCUUUAUGAUUUACGUGUAUUUCCUACUUAUUACAAUGGUUUUAAACUUCAUAUAUGAGCUAACAUGAGAUAUACUGAUAAGUUCUCUAGAAUUAUCUCUUGAUUGCACCUAGGGUGCCAUUAAGCUCUCUUAAGCUUGCCAUAUCAACGCUCUAUGCUAACUCCAACGAGCUUUAUUGAGUUAUCUAAGUUAUUCCAAAUUCAAAAUAUUUUAGUUCACCUUUGAGAUCACAUCAGCUAUAUCUUUUGCCCCAAAUGUUAAAAAAAACAAAAAAACCUAUCUCUGCUAGCCCAAUCUCUCCAUAAAUAUAAAUUUAUUUAUUUAAAUCAAAUUUGACUUUGAUCUGGUAAGAACAACCAAUAAAUAAUUCAAAUCAAAUUUUAGUCAAAAUCUGGUGAGAACUUGAAUAUUUUUAUAUACAUAUACCUUCUUUUAUAUGAUGUUGUCUUGAAGCUGAAGCUAGGUUAGCAGAAGUAGUAGUACUAGUACUAGUGCUUCUCAUGGGCGGAUAGAAAAUGCAGAAAUUAUAUUUUGAACUAUAUAUGUUCAAUAAAAGGGAAAAAACUCAAUAUGGUGUGCUAACCACUAAGGGAAGCAUUCAUUAGGCACGCAAAUAUACAAUAGGCGUCUUUUCUUAUAGGAAAAGCAUCAAUUUUUAUCAUCAUCUCAUCAAACACUAGCAUUGCUAUAAUUCCUAUUCAGGGUCCCCCAAUGCCUGUUACGGAGACUUGAUUGAGAGAAACCUCCACAGUUUACAAGAGUUUGCAGCUACUGAACAUCCCCAUCUGUCCCAAAAACAUAAGCACCUGCAAUAUCCAAAAUUUGUCAAUACAUUUGUAUCAAGAAACAGUAAACAAUUAAUGUCGCGGUAAGAUUAUUUACCAAGUGUAGGCAUUAGAAAGGCCAGAGCAGCAAUGCCAGCAAUCUUAAGGGGCAGCCCUGUCUUGAUCAUAUCUUGAAUUUCGAUGUGCCCGGUUGUGAAUCCAACAAUAUUUGAAGGGGUUCCAGUCGGCAACAAGAAAGAAAAUUGUGCUCCAAUUGCUCCAGGAACCAUAAGAAGCAAUGGAUGAACAUGCAUAGUUUUUGCUAUUUGGAUCAGAAGUGGAAGAACGAGAGUUGUUGUGGCAUUAUUUGAUGUGAAUUCAGUAAUAAUCGCGCUAAUCAGACAUACGAUAGGUGCAAUGGCUAAAUAUGGCGCCGCCUCCAGGAAAUCCAAUGCUUUUGACAGAUCAUCAGCAAGACCGCUAGUCCUGACUCCAUCAGCUAUAGCAAAGCCAGCCCCUAAAAGCAAUAUAAUGUUCCAAGGUAGCUUCUUGCAUUUGUUCCAAUCCAUCAAUUUUUCUCCCUUUUGCUUCAUGCUCGGAAUUAUGAACAACAAUGUUGCCAUCACAACCUAUAUUUGUGUGUGUGUGUGUGUGUGUGUGUGUAUACAUAUGUAUUAAUAAUUCAGUUAAAAAUCAUCCAAAAGCUUGAUUAAACAUGUCUCAUUUAAUUAUGUUCUCAAAUGAUAAACAAAAGACCAAAGAGUACUCACACUAGCAGUUCCAUCACCAGCACGGUCAUUGAAGAGUGCUCCCCAACCUGGAAUGUCAUCUGUUAUUGAUCUUGUCAUCCACAAUGCUAUUAGCAUCUGCAUCAUUUAUCUUAAAUUAACUUGAAGACAUUUCCAAUAACAUUAUGCACAUCACUUAAAAGGGGAGAAAAAAAAAAAUUACAGCUCAGCUCACCCCAAAUACAGCUAGUACCAUCUUUUCAGCAAAAGCCAUUGGACCUGCCAAGAAAAACACCAAACAAUAGAAUUAAGCCACUGAACAUUAAUUAGCUGUAGCUGUCAUUAAUUGGACAGACAGCAGGGUCUUACCUAACAUGUCAAGCUCUCUCUUGAGAUUUGCUUUGUCCAAAUACUCGGAGAGAGCAGGUCCAGAUCCCCUUGAACAAUAGAACAAGCACAAAAUAGCCCACAAAGCAACGAAAAUCACUAAAGCCAAAGGGAACCCAAAACAGAACCAGGUACUGAAGCUGAUCGGGUUUGCUUCUGGAAAAUAGGUCUUCCACAUCCCGACCAAUAUUAGAUUAACACCUGUUCCAGUAAGUGUGCUCAUCCCUCCUACGGCUGCAGAGUAGAUGACCCCGAGCACCACAGCUUUGCAAUACUUCCUAACAAGGGUUGAUUGAAGAGGAACCUCUGGCAAGUUCUGUAAGAUCCCAGUGGCCACUGGCAUCAUGAUCACUGCUGCUGCCACGUUAUGCAUCCACAUGCUCACGAAUGCUGUCGUGCCACAUAUCCCAAGAAGCAGCAAGGGCGGAUUCAUUGGCUCUCCACAGAAUAGAAUAGUUAUCUGUAGUUAUUAAUAUAUAUAUGGUAUAGGAUUGUCCAUACAUAAUUAAUUCAUCUUUUGUCACUGAUAAUUUUUCUGAAAAAGAAAUCGUAACAAUUAAUGACAUGAUGAUGAUGAUGCAUUACGGGAACUUACAUUUAAGGCCAAUCUUUUGUGAAUGUUGUAGUGCUCAACGGCAAGAGCAAGAAUAAAGCUACCAAGAACGAGGGCAAUAACAUCAUCCAUGUAAGAAUGAGCAACGGUGUCAGCAGAAGAGAUACCAAACAGAGGAAACAGAAACAGAGGCGCCAUAGAGGUAAUGGGCAUGGGUACGGCCUCCGUGAGCCACCAAGCGAAGACCCAAGCAAGAACACCCAACAUGUUCCUGCUUGUCGCCUGCCCAUCGAGCUUCACACAUACACAUAUAACAGCGCACAGGAGAGGUCCUAGGAGGAUGUAGAAAUUGUUUGGUGUGAAAAUGGUUUUCAAUGUGAAGUGGGAGCUUGGUGACCGUUGGAUUUGACGAUGGGAAGGUAGGAGUGGCGCCUUGAUGUCACCAGAAUUUGGAUGAGCUUCGUGGUCACCGUUCAUU
This 10034-nucleotide long non-coding RNA is filed under the name Citrus sinensis (sweet orange). Its description in RNAcentral is "long non-coding RNA (CSIN_LNC000495)". Lineage: Eukaryota; Viridiplantae; Streptophyta; Magnoliopsida; Sapindales; Rutaceae. The record is from RNAcentral.